Orcinus orca (killer whale) is the source of this 1736-nucleotide long non-coding RNA. RefSeq lists it as uncharacterized. The transcript is spliced from 2 exons. NCBI's taxonomy places the organism in Eukaryota, Metazoa, Chordata, Mammalia, Artiodactyla, Delphinidae. The record is from RefSeq and is a predicted model, not a curated record.
ACCUCAAGGUGACAACAGGUGCAAGAGCCCACUGGACAGGGAUGCCACUGCAAUGAGACCAUAGCAAGCAGGCAGGACAGGUUUGAAGACAGCACUGACUACAUCUAAAGAAAGAAUUUAUUAAGCUUUGUCAAAACUGUGGGAGCAACGAUGGGGACAUGAAUCCAUUUAUAUAAUUAAUUUUUAAUCUGCGUGAUCGCCUGGUGAGGUUGUUUAGCAAUACCACAACACCCUCAGGUAAAAUCAGGAGGUGGAUGAUGGCGGGCUGCUCCUUCGGGCCCCUCAAGAAGUCUGUGCUUGGAGCCAGGAUCAGAACUGAAGGCUCCUGGCUGCACACGCAGCUCCAGCCCAGGUAUUACACAUGUCUCUGAUGUCUCCCAGCCUUUGGAUGUAAAAGGAUAAACUUCAGGCAAAGCAGAGCAAAAGAAAUGAGAUGAGAAUAAGCAUGCCAUGUCCUGGAGAGCCAUGGGGUUUCCGCUCAUUCUACGAAGUGUUUGGUGGGGUGAAAGUUAGCUGGGAGCCUUGGUGGAUGGGAGCCUCUCUGUCUUGGAAAUUCAGUAUAAAACAAACCCAUCUUGCACCCCUGGACACCUGCAAGCUAAAGGACUAUGAAGAUGUCUACAUUUGCCUGAAAAGGAGUAACCCUUGCUUUGGAAGAUGAUUCCUUUUAGAAGAGUAAGUGGAAGCAUAGAGCACCCUGCCUCUGCCACUCCCUGUCUUGUCACCCUGCCUGGGAAGCACGGGCUACCCACAUGAAGAGUGGACCACGAGGGUGAAACAUUCCACCACACAUCUGAGAUGACAGAAAGGAAAAAGGUAAGGAAGAAAACAAGACUUCUCUGCUCUAGCCACCCACUGCUCCUUGAGAUAAGUCCUACAGGUGGUGAAUUCAUUGUUUAAAUGUAAAAUAGUCAUAAUGACGUGGCCAGCAGUACUUUCCACUUAUAUACUCCACUCUAUACACACACACACACAAUUUUAAUUUUAAAGUCAGAUUGUGUAACACGUAGAAAUCAAGACCAGAGAAUUUCACAAUAUACUCAGAUUUUUAAAAGAGCCUCUUUUCUUCUCCUGAAUUCCAGAAAGAAAAAAAGAAACAAAAACAAAAAAACACCAUGAAUUUGGAGGUUAUCUAUCUAUUUGCUCUAAUAUUUUAGUUCCUGGUCCGACAGAACUGAAGAAAAAUAAUUGGACUGACUUAGUUCAGACAACAAGUUUUAGUCCAAUUAUCAGAAGGAAUGAAAUCUGACUACAUUUUUUUUUCCUUUACAGGUAGUGGGCUUGCAAUGUGGUGCAUAGCUCUGGCUAAAGUCUACUCAAAUCCAUUAAAGCCAGUAAGCCACUAAAUCACUAGUAAAAGGAACUUCAAAUGUCUACCAAUAUAAAGAUCACUUGAACUUUUUAAAAAAAAUUAUUCAGCCACACCUCUACUUCUGCUUUGAUGUGAAAGGCAGUGAAGCAGAAGACGUUUCCUUUCUGUCAGAGGAUUUUUCACCUAAAAGUCACCACCAUGCUGGUGACUAAUACUUGGUUCUUAGCUCAUCCUUUGCUUUAAUUUUCUCUAAUGAUAGAGAAAUAACAAAGUGUAAGACAAGCAGAAAAUUGGGGAGGGGGGAUGGUUGUCUUUAUGUGUAUGUAUGUGUGUUUGUGUUUGACCUUACUUUCAGGAUAAAUUACCCCAAAACUCUGUUGCCCAAAUAUUUUUGUGUUACCUAAAAUGAACAAUACUAUAUGAA